RNAcentral lists this non-coding RNA (30 nucleotides) under Mus musculus (house mouse). The record is from RNAcentral. Lineage: Eukaryota; Metazoa; Chordata; Mammalia; Rodentia; Muridae. RNAcentral also lists the same sequence under 1 other name.
CGACUCUCGGCAACGGAUAUCUCGGCUCUC